UCUGCUUCCGUGCUUGCCUCCAAGU
Molecule: unclassified non-coding RNA, 25 nt
Filed under: Mus musculus (house mouse)
Lineage: Eukaryota; Metazoa; Chordata; Mammalia; Rodentia; Muridae
Description: oocyte_clustered_small_RNA8719
Source: RNAcentral